UGGUAAUGGUUCCAGCUGUGACUGUCCUGGCCCACUUGGUACAUAGAAAAUUUUGGAGCCCACCUACCCUACUGUAGAGCCUUUGUGCUACAGCUCAGACUCAGACGUGAAAACAUAAAUGCCAUAAUGCAAAAGCACCGAAGUCUUCUACUGGAUCUGGCCCAAGUGAUCUCCUGAGUGGGCUGUACUGUGCUGCUUUCUAGCUGUGGGAGACACCUUCAGGAGGCAAUGCCUCACAGACAGAAACAGAUAUUUAGGAUAUCCUGGAGACAUUCAGUCCUGAGGGCACCAGUUCUCCCCACCGAUCAUACAAAGGCUCUGAGAAAGUGGUACAAGUGGACAACCAGCCCUUGGAUGGGUAAAGGUGAAGUGAAUAUUCUCUGUGGAGACAAGAGGCAAGAUCAGUUUUUCAUAUCACAUAAAAGUGUGGAAAAUGACAGGAUCUGCUAGCAAGUUUGCAGCUUCAAAGACAUGAAUGAUCAAAACAAACGGCCCGGGGAAGAUAUUAAAAAAGUUUGUGAUUACA
Molecule: long non-coding RNA, 526 nt
Organism: Gallus gallus (chicken)
Lineage: Eukaryota; Metazoa; Chordata; Aves; Galliformes; Phasianidae
Exons: 3
Source: RefSeq, a predicted model, not a curated record